This 274-nucleotide ribosomal RNA is filed under the name uncultured bacterium. RNAcentral's name for it is "partial 16S ribosomal RNA". It matches the Rfam family "Bacterial small subunit ribosomal RNA", at positions 793 to 1055 of the family's 1533-position model. The record is from RNAcentral.
GUCCACGCCCUAAACGAUGGGUACUAGAGAGUAGAUGCUCCGAUGUGUUUACUCUCGAAGCAAAAGUGUUAAGUACCCCGCCUGGGGGAGUAUGGUCGCAAGGCUGAAACUCAAAAGGAAUUGACGGGGGCUCACACAAGCGGUGGAGCAUGUGGCUUAAUUCGAGGCUACGCGAAAGAACCUUAUCCUAGGCUUGACAUGCAGGGAUGCCUCCGGGGAAACUCGGUCGGCUGCCGCAAAGGUGAAACCUGUACAGCUGCUGCAUGGCUGUCGU